This 876-nucleotide ribosomal RNA is filed under the name uncultured bacterium. RNAcentral describes it as "bacterial SSU rRNA". It matches the Rfam family "Bacterial small subunit ribosomal RNA", at positions 610 to 1500 of the family's 1533-position model. The record is from RNAcentral.
CAACCGUAAAAUUGCCAUUGAAACUGGCGAACUUGAGUACAGUAGAGGUAGGCGGAAUUCGUGGUGUAGCGGUGAAAUGCUUAGAUAUCACGAAGAACUCCGAUUGCGAAGGCAGCUUGCUGGACUGUAACUGACGCUGAGGCACGAAAGCGUGGGGAUCAAACAGGAUUAGAUACCCUGGUAGUCCACGCCGUAAACGAUGAAUGCUAGCUGUUAGCGAUAUACUGUUAGCGGCACAGAGAAAUCGUUAAGCAUUCCACCUGGGGAGUACGCCGGCAACGGUGAAACUCAAAGGAAUUGACGGGGGCCCGCACAAGCGGAGGAACAUGUGGUUUAAUUCGAUGAUACGCGAGGAACCUUACCUGGGCUUAAAUUGCAGUGGAAUAACGUGGAAACAUGUUAGCCUUCGGGCCGCUGUGAAGGUGCUGCAUGGUUGUCGUCAGCUCGUGCCGUGAGGUGUCGGCUUAAGUGCCAUAACGAGCGCAACCCUCAUCGAUAGUUACUAACAGGUUAAGCUGAGGACUCUAUCGAGACUGCCGACGUAAGUCGUGAGGAAGGUGGGGAUGACGUCAAAUCAGCACGGCCCUUACGUCCAGGGCUACACACGUGUUACAAUGGGGGGUACAAAGGGCAGCUACCUGGCGACAGGAUGCUAAUCUCAAAAACCUCUCUCAGUUCGGAUUGGAGUCUGCAACCCGACUCCAUGAAGCUGGAUUCGCUAGUAAUCGCGCAUCAGCCACGGCGCGGUGAAUACGUUCCCGGGCCUUGUACACACCGCCCGUCAAGCCAUGGGAGCCGGGGGGACCUGAAGUAUGCAACCGUAAGGAGCGUCCUAGGGUAAAACUGGUGACUGGGGCUAAGUCGUAACAAGGUACC